UACAGAGGGGGCAAGCGUUGUUCGGAAUUACUGGGCGUAAAGGGCGCGUAGGCGGCCUGUUAAGUCGAACGUGAAAUCCCCGGGCUCAACCUGGGAACUGCAUUUGUGACUGCAUGGCUAGAGUGCGGCAGAGGGGGAUGGAAUUCCGCGUGUAGCAGUGAAAUGCGUAGAUAUGCGGAGGAACACCGAUGGCGAAGGCAAUCCCCUGGGCCUGCACUGACGCUCAUGCACGAAAGCGUGGGGAGCAAACAGG
Molecule: ribosomal RNA, 253 nt
Filed under: uncultured bacterium
Lineage: Bacteria
Description: partial 16S ribosomal RNA
Rfam family: Bacterial small subunit ribosomal RNA
Source: RNAcentral